GAUGAACGCUGGCGGCGUGCCUAAUACAUGCAAGUCGAGCGAACAGACGAGGAGCUUGCUCCUCUGACGUUAGCGGCGGACGGGUGAGUAACACGUGGAUAACCUACCUAUAAGACUGGGAUAACUUCGGGAAACCGGAGCUAAUACCGGAUAAUAUAUUGAACCGCAUGGUUCAAUAGUGAAAGACGGUUUUGCUGUCACUUAUAGAUGGAUCCGCGCCGAAUUAGCUAGUUGGUAAGGUAACGGCUUACCAAGGCAACGAUGCGUAGCCGACCUGAGAGGAUGAACGGCCACACGGGAACUGAGACACGGUCCAGACUCCUACGGGAGGAAGCAGUAGAGAAUCUUCCGCGAUGGGCGAAAGCGGGACGGAGCAACGCCGCGUGAGGGAUGAAGGUCUUCGGAUCGGAAAACUCUGAUAUUAGGGAAGAACAAAUGUGUAAGUAACUAUGCACGUCUUGACGGUACCUAAGCAGAAAGCCACGGCUAACUACGUG
This 497-nucleotide ribosomal RNA is filed under the name uncultured bacterium. RNAcentral describes it as "partial 16S ribosomal RNA". It matches the Rfam family "Bacterial small subunit ribosomal RNA", at positions 28 to 507 of the family's 1533-position model. The record is from RNAcentral.